Long non-coding RNA from Podarcis raffonei (Aeolian wall lizard), 1738 nucleotides. RefSeq lists it as uncharacterized. The transcript has 3 exons. The record is from RefSeq and is a predicted model, not a curated record. Lineage: Eukaryota; Metazoa; Chordata; Lepidosauria; Squamata; Lacertidae.
UCCGUCCCGCUCACCUCUCAGCGCGCGCGGCUCUCACUCGCCCCUCGCUCUCCGCGAAAAAAGAAAUCGCACAACUGAACUGCCGCAGCACUGGACCUCGCGCAUACCGCGCCUGCGCGAACUAGCCCUUUCGUUGCCUCCCCCUUCCCGCGGUUAGGGACCGAGGAGAACGUGACGCUUUACAGCAAUGCCGCAAACGCAGCCAGGAAGCCGGCUUUACGGAUCGGCGACCACCUGACAAUGAAGCUGGGGGUAACUAGAAACAAGCGAGGAAAAACACUGAACCAGCCGGACAAACCUUUACCAAACGUUGGCGCAAUGGAAGCGUCAGGUGUCAAACAUCAUCUGUCGUUGUCAGUCCCACCCCCGAACCUUAGGUUUCCUUGCCGAAGAGCAGGGAAGAAAAAAUGCUGGUAAUUUGUGUACCAUCCCUGAACAAUCUAAAGACUACAUGCCAUGCGCAAGGGGGAGGAGAAGCGCCUAGCAAAUGAAAACGCAAGAAGGAAGUUGACUGACUGGGCAUUGGUAUAGUUGGUAUCGCUCCAGCUGGAUCACAGAGUCAGAUCUGACAGUUUCCACAAUGAAUAGCCUCCCAUGCGCUUCUCAUAUUAGUAGCUAUUAUGAAAUAACAGAAUAAAGUUCAGGUUUGUGUGAUAAUACAGGCAAAUACUUAGGACCCUCCAGUUAAAAAUAUUCAUAUUACGAAAGCUUUUUUUGUUAAAGCUGUUUCCAUCACAUUCAUUUUUUUAAAGCAACACUUUCCUUAUUACAUGUGUUUAUUAUAUUUAUAAUCCUGCUUUUGAGGAAAACAAAUAAAUAUAUACCCAAGCAGAUGACGUAACUUGAAGUACAAUACUCAAUGCAGUGUUUCUGUUUUUUAAAGAGGAAUUCAAGGCACAAAAUUAAACCCAACAGUACAUUUAUGCAUUUGUGGGUGCCAGACACUUAAUCCAUGGACUCAACAAGUGUUAAGCGAACAAAGGGAAAGGCCAUUAAGAAGGCAAAUGCUCUGAGCCAAAUAGCAAAGAGGUGGGGCCCCUCCUCCAGCUCUUAGAUAGUCAGAAGGACAAAAGCCAGAGUUUAGAGUCUGUGUGUAAUAUGAGCUAGAAGUAAAAGCUGCUGGCUGAAAAGCCAGAGAAGCAGAGCAUGAUGUUUGAUUUCUGUUUGAAUCCAAGGCUGCAGCUGUAACAGAAACCAGAUCCUUUUGGGGUGUUAAUGCUGUGAACCCCUCCAUUGUAGGCUCAGGUUGUAUAUAUGUGUAAAUAAACUAUAUAUCAUAAACAUACAACAAUCUCUGCCGUGCCUCAUUGGCAAAAGGAAAACAUGAACCCUGGGCGAGUGCAUGGAACCCUUAGAACCUCACACUGCAACAAUACUAGACAGAGACAGCAGAAUGUUAGGAAGAUCCCUUAUACUGGUCCCUGUAGAACGGACUUGCAGCAGUCCUCAGAUUAAUAAACAUAUUAAAAUAAAAAAUCUGGCACUGAUACAUAGAAUUGCAUCAUUCCAAAAAUGAGUAGUCCCUGAAAUAUAUUUUGAAAGUUCAGGUUCUGAAGGCAGAUUAAAGGAAGGUCUCCAGCAAAAACCUUUUCCAGCCCUGCUAGCAGAGAUCAUUUCUAAAUAGAUAUGUUGGGUAAUGAACUUGAGAUGUUCUGCAUCCCAAACAUGUUACUAAGCCUUUGUAAUGCUAGAAGGAUAUAAAAUGUGGCCUUAGUGAAGGACAUUACAUAGUGUGUGU